CGGGAAGAGCUCAAAUUUGAAAUCUGGCGUCCUCAGGGCGUCCGAGUUGUAAUCUAUAGAGGCGUUUUCCGUGCCGGACCGUGUCCAAGUUCCUUGGAACAGGAUAUCAAAGAGGGUGACAAUCCCGUACUUGACACGACGACCGGUGCUCUGUGAUACGUCUUCUACGAGUCGAGUUGUUUGGGAAUGCAGCUCAAAAUGGGUGGUGAGUUCCAUCUAAAGCUAAAUAUUGGCGAGAGACCGAUAGCGAACAAGUACCGUGAGGGAAAGAUGAAAAGCACUUUGGAAAGAGAGUUAAACAGUACGUGAAAUUGUUGAAAGGGAAACGAUUGAAGUCAGUCGUGACCGAGAGGCUCAGCCGGUUCUGCCGGUGUAUUCCCCUCGGUCGGGUCAACAUCAGUUUUGUCCGGUGGAUAAGGACGGUAGGAAGGUGGCACCCUCGGGUGUGUUAUAGCCUGCCGUCGCAUACAUCGGGUGAGACUGAGGAACGCAGCUCGCCUUUAUGGCCGGGGUUCGCCCACGUCCGAGCUUAGGAUGUUGACAUAAUGGCUUUAAACGACCCGU
Molecule: ribosomal RNA, 564 nt
Filed under: Papiliotrema laurentii
Lineage: Eukaryota; Fungi; Basidiomycota; Tremellomycetes; Tremellales; Rhynchogastremaceae
Description: eukaryotic LSU rRNA
Rfam family: Eukaryotic large subunit ribosomal RNA
Source: RNAcentral